CGCAAAUUACACAAUGCAGUCGAUAGAGACCCAUAAAACCAAUAAAAAUGGUAAUAAAAAGGAAAAAUCUAUCAGUUAGAUAUUUUCAGAUUUUUAUAAAAAUAAUCCAAUCAAACUAAAAAUUAAACUUUCAAUUUUAACUAAACUGAAAAAUCGAAUGAAAAUAGUUCAGUUUGAUUUUUCGGUUACAAUUGUUUUUCUCACCCCUGAUUAUUAGAGUUACUAUUGAGACAAAUAAUUUUUAAAUGCAUUAACAUGAUAAAUUUUUUAACUAUCUUAUUCAAUGGCAUCACUACUUGAUAAGAAUGGGCUCUGAUG
This 318-nucleotide unclassified non-coding RNA is filed under the name Hevea brasiliensis (rubber tree). The record is from RNAcentral. Lineage: Eukaryota; Viridiplantae; Streptophyta; Magnoliopsida; Malpighiales; Euphorbiaceae.